RNAcentral lists this ribosomal RNA (497 nucleotides) under uncultured bacterium. RNAcentral's name for it is "partial 16S ribosomal RNA". It matches the Rfam family "Bacterial small subunit ribosomal RNA", at positions 28 to 507 of the family's 1533-position model. The record is from RNAcentral.
GAUGAACGCUGGCGGCGUGCCUAAUACAUGCAAGUCGAGCGAACAGACGAGGAGCUUGCUCCUCUGACGUUAGCGGCGGACGGGUGAGUAACACGUGGAUAACCUACCUAUAAGACUGGGAUAACUUCGGGAAACCGGAGCUAAUACCGGAUAAUAUAUUGAACCGCAUGGUUCAAUAGUGAAAGACGGUUUUGCUGUCACUUAUAGAUGGAUCCGCGCCGCAUUAGCUAGUUGGUAAGGUAACGGCUUACCAAGGCGACGAUGCGUAGCCGACCUGAGAGGGUGAUUCGCCACACUGGAACUGAGACACGGUCCAGACUCCUAAGGGAGGCAGGCGUGGGGAAUUUUGCCGAAUGGGCGAAAGCCUGAACGAGCCAAACCGCGUGGGUGGAGAAGGUCUUCGGGUUGUAAAACUCUGUUAUUAGGGAAGAACAAAUGUGUAAGUAACUAUGCACGUCUUGACGGUACCUAAUCAGAAAGCCACGGCUAACUACGUG